UCCCUGGUAGUCCAGUGGUUAAGACAGCAAGCUCCCAAUGCAGGGGACCCAGGUUAAACCCCUGGUCAGGGAA
RNAcentral lists this transfer RNA (73 nucleotides) under Bos taurus (domestic cattle). It matches the Rfam family "tRNA". Rfam says of the family: Transfer RNA (tRNA) molecules are approximately 80 nucleotides in length. Their secondary structure includes four short double-helical elements and three loops (D, anti-codon, and T loops). RNAcentral also lists the same sequence under 2 other names. Lineage: Eukaryota; Metazoa; Chordata; Mammalia; Artiodactyla; Bovidae. The record is from Rfam by way of RNAcentral.